Molecule: ribosomal RNA, 491 nt
Filed under: uncultured bacterium
Lineage: Bacteria
Description: partial 16S ribosomal RNA
Rfam family: Bacterial small subunit ribosomal RNA
Source: RNAcentral
AGUGAACGCUGGCGGUAGGCCUAACACAUGCAAGUCGAACGGCAGCACAGUAAGAGCUUGCUCUUACGGGUGGCGAGUGGCGGACGGGUGAGGAAUACAUCGGAAUCUACUUUUUCGUGGGGGAUAACGUAGGGAAACUUACGCUAAUACCGCAUACGACCUACGGGUGAAGGCAGGGGAUCUUCGGACCUUGCGCGAUUGAAUGAGCCGAUGUCGGAUUAGCUAGUUGGCGGGGUAAAGGCCCACCAAGGCGACGAUCCGUAGCUGGUCUGAGAGGAUGAUCAGCCACACUGGAACUGAGACACGGUCCAGACUCCUACGGGAGGCAGCAGUGGGGAAUAUUGGAGAAUGGGCGCAAGCCUGAGCCAGCCAUACCGCGUGGGUGAAGAAGGCCUUCGGGUUGUAAAGCCCUUUUGUUGGGAAAGAAAAGCAGCAGGUUAAUACCCCGCUGUUCUGACGGUACCCAAAGAAUAAGCACCGGCUAACUUCGU